This 468-nucleotide ribosomal RNA is filed under the name uncultured bacterium. Its description in RNAcentral is "partial 16S ribosomal RNA". It matches the Rfam family "Bacterial small subunit ribosomal RNA", at positions 28 to 507 of the family's 1533-position model. The record is from RNAcentral.
GACGAACGCUGGCGGCGUGCUUAACACAUGCAAGUCGAACGGAAAGGCCCUGCUUUUGUGGGGUGCUCGAGUGGCGAACGGGUGAGUAACACGUGAGUAACCUGCCCUUGACUUUGGGAUAACUUCAGGAAACUGGGGCUAAUACCGGAUAGGAGCUCCUGCUGCAUGGUGGGGGUUGGAAAGUUUCGGCGGUUGGGGAUAGACUCGCGGCUUAUCAGCUUGUUGGUGGGGUAGUGGCUUACCAAGGCUUUGACGGGUAGCCGGCCUGAGAGGGUGACCGGCCACAUUGGGACUGAGAUACGGCCCAGACUCCUACGGGAGGCAGCAGUGGGGAAUAUUGCACAAUGGGCGGAAGCCUGAUGCAGCAACGCCGCGUGCGGGAUGACGGCCUUCGGGUUGUAAACCGCUUUCGCCUGUGACGAAGCGUGAGUGACGGUAAUGGGUAAAGAAGCGCCGGCUAACUACGUG